CUUAAUUAUCAGGGAGGUGAGAGAAGAUUUUAUAAUAGUGAAGCGGAGACAGCAGGUGACACCUUAUGUCAACAACAGAAGAUAGAUCGUUCUAGUGAUAAGGAGGAGAGUUGGAUUUUUUCGGUUGGGCGCCAGGUAUGACGGGAGUGAUACCAAGGAGGGGGUUUUUGGAGGCAGGAAGCUGAGAUAGGCGAAACCACAGAAAAUACACCAUCGUGAAUUUUGAAAACCAUUUUAUUACCACUUACAUCAGAUGGCGAGGCGUCCAGUUCGUGGCCAGACUGGCAGCUGGGUUGCGAAUCGUAGGUGGGCGACGGGCGAGCUAAGCUUCGGGUUGAGCCAAACCUGGGCUGGGUUGAGCGAGCAAGAACCUUCUCCAGGAGGGUUGACCUGGAUCCUGGAAGGAGUUUGGGCAACGGGAAAAAAAGAGAGAGUAGGCGACAGUCGCACGAGCUAACACAGGCUGACCUGACCGACUGUCGGCCGCGUCGUCGCUCGGGGUUUCGUGUCCUCUCAGGGGAUUCCGUCGCGAAUCAGUGUGGAUUCGUUGCCGACGUUAAGUGAUAAAAAUCACGGACCGCGCAAACUGGUCGAGGUUCAAACAACAAACACAACACACGACCACGGCA
Molecule: long non-coding RNA, 629 nt
Organism: Belonocnema kinseyi
Lineage: Eukaryota; Metazoa; Arthropoda; Insecta; Hymenoptera; Cynipidae
Exons: 3
Source: RefSeq, a predicted model, not a curated record